CCUACGGGUGGCAGCAGUGGGGAAUAUUGCGCAAUGGGCGAAAGCCUGACGCAGCGACGCCGCGUGAGGGAUGAAGGUCUUCGGAUCGUAAACCUCUGUCAGCAGGGAAGAACGGUCACUGUGCUAAUCAGCAGUGAAUUGACGGUACCUGCAAAGGAAGCACCGGCUAACUCCGUGCCAGCAGCCGCGGUAAUACGGAGGGUGCGAGCGUUAAUCGGAAUUACUGGGCGGAAAGCGCACGUAGGCGGUAAGUCAAGGCAAGGGGGAAAUCCCCGCGCUCAACGUGGGAACUGCCUUUGAAACUGGCAAACUGGAGUGUGGGAGAGGAUAGUGGAAUUCCAGGUGUAGGGGUGAAAUCCGUAGAUAUCUGGAGGAACAUCAGUGGCGAAGGCGACUAUCUGGCACAUAACUGACGCUGAGGAGCGAAAGCGUGGGUAGCAAACAGGAUUAGAUACCCUAGUAGUC
Molecule: ribosomal RNA, 465 nt
Filed under: uncultured bacterium
Lineage: Bacteria
Description: partial 16S ribosomal RNA
Rfam family: Bacterial small subunit ribosomal RNA
Source: RNAcentral